UACAGAGGGUGCAAGCGUUGUUCGGAAUUAUUGGGCGUAAAGCGCGUGUAGGCGGCCUUGCAAGUCGGGUGUGAAAUCCCUCAGCUUAACUGAGGAAGUGCGCCCGAAACUGCAGGGCUUGAGUACCGGAGAGGGUGGCGGAAUACCCCAAGUAGAGGUGAAAUUCGUAGAUAUGGGGUGGAACACCGGUGGCGAAGGCGGCCACCUGGACGGAUACUGACGCUGAGACGCGAAAGCGUGGGGAGCAAACAGG
Molecule: ribosomal RNA, 253 nt
Filed under: uncultured bacterium
Lineage: Bacteria
Also listed under: 1 other name
Description: partial 16S ribosomal RNA
Rfam family: Bacterial small subunit ribosomal RNA
Source: RNAcentral